This 453-nucleotide ribosomal RNA is filed under the name uncultured organism. Its description in RNAcentral is "partial 16S ribosomal RNA". It matches the Rfam family "Bacterial small subunit ribosomal RNA", at positions 332 to 801 of the family's 1533-position model. The record is from RNAcentral.
UACACUCCUGCGGGAGGCAGCAGUGGGGAAUCUUGCGCAAUGGGCGAAAGCCUGACGCAGCCAUGCCGCGUGAAUGAUGAAGGUCUUAGGAUUGUAAAAUUCUUUCACCGGGGACGAUAAUGACGGUACCCGGAGAAGAAGCCCCGGCUAACUUCGUGCCAGCAGCCGCGGUAAUACGAAGGGGGCUAGCGUUGCUCGGAAUUACUGGGCGUAAAGGGAGCGUAGGCGGACAUUUAAGUCAGGGCUGAAAUCCCGGGGCUCAACCUCGGAAUUGCCUUUGAUACUGGGUGUCUUGAGUAUGAGAGAGGUGUGUGGAACUCCGAGUGUAGAGGUGAAAUUCGUAGAUAUUCGGAAGAACACCAGUGGCGAAGGCGACACACUGGCUCAUUACUGACGCUGAGGCUCGAAAGCGUGGGGAGCAAACAGGAUUAGAUACCCCAGUAGUCCCAUGAU